CUGAACUGCUUCCAGAUCUGGUGCAUAUGGUGCAUUUCUUCUCCAGGGGCGAAACCCUGAGAUGGAGGAACGUAACUGGGAAACUCAGCCUAAUCCCUCCUGCCGGGAAGUGCACCCCUGAUUACCCCACAGGAUUGGCCGCUAUCCGCCUCUCCUCCUCCGGCGGGGCUUCGCACCCGCUCGCUCAUUUCUCCCGUCUCCCUUUCCUUAGCGUCGCUACUUCCAUAAGGAUAUAUUGCCUCGUUUAGGCAGGUGAGCCCAAAGCGAGUGCCAGCACAGCAGAGGUGGCAGAUGUGCAGAUGGAUGGCAGGACCGUGGCACUGCCACCCGGGAUCCUUUUACAUUGCUGUGGAACAGCAGGCUCAGCCCUGAGAAGUUCCUACUCCACCUAAUCUUAACCAUCGGCAAUUUUUAGAAAUGAGACCUUCUCUUCUAGAAACUAAAUAGAGAAGAGGCAGUCCAGCAAAUCUUAUUCAUGAAAAAUUCCCCAAACCCUUCUAGUCAGUGGGAGUUUCACACCAAGAAAGGCCACGAGAUGAGGUAAGAAGCACUGUUUUAAUCUGAACUAACCAAAUUUAUGGAGAAGUGUGAAGUUAAUAAUAGAUUUGAAUAAUGUUAUACCUAGACAAGGAUAUUUUCAUACCUCAGGUUCAUUCAGGUUCCCUCUGUUCAUGUAUGGUUUUUAGCAGUGAUUUUGGCAAUGGGUGUGUCUGUGAAGUUUUUGUUCCUGAUUUAUGACUUUUUAAUGGUAGAUAAGCAGAACUCCUCAUCCCUAGUAUUUUUAGAUCCUAAGGGAUAAGAGCAUAUCUGUUCUGCUGAACCUCCUUAAGCUCUCAUCAAAGUACUUCAGUUAUAUCUGUUGGGGCUUACCAAUAACUAAAAAUGUUCAGAAAUUUCAUUUAUAAGAUCCUUACCUUUAGGUACUUUUAACCUUUU
Empidonax traillii (willow flycatcher) is the source of this 936-nucleotide long non-coding RNA. RefSeq lists it as uncharacterized. The record is from RefSeq and is a predicted model, not a curated record. NCBI's taxonomy places the organism in Eukaryota, Metazoa, Chordata, Aves, Passeriformes, Tyrannidae. The transcript is spliced from 3 exons.